RNAcentral lists this long non-coding RNA (315 nucleotides) under Phoenix dactylifera (date palm). RNAcentral describes it as "long non-coding RNA (PDAC_LNC000345)". Lineage: Eukaryota; Viridiplantae; Streptophyta; Magnoliopsida; Arecales; Arecaceae. The record is from RNAcentral.
UGUUGAGAAAAUGUGCCUCGAAACUCGAAACGACUGCAAAUUGAAUUCGGCUCAAGUUUGCUUGAAAAAUUCUGUGCCAACUGAAUGGAGUCGACCCCUAGCAUCUAGGAGUCGACUCAUGUGAAGCUUGAGUCGACCCCAGGGAUGAGAGGGUCGACUCGCAUCUGCCACAGUGAAGAAACAGAGAGCAGUUUUUUUGGGUUGCUUGCAGGAGUCGACUCCAGUCCUGCAGGAGUCGACUCCAGCUCUGCAGGAGUCGACUCUCUCAGGAAGACAGAGCAUACCAGUUUCGGUGCUGAUACUUGGAGUCGACCC